Pocillopora damicornis (cauliflower coral) is the source of this 137-nucleotide small nucleolar RNA. The record is from RefSeq and is a predicted model, not a curated record. NCBI's taxonomy places the organism in Eukaryota, Metazoa, Cnidaria, Anthozoa, Scleractinia, Pocilloporidae.
ACUCGGCCCUUUCGAAGCUCAGAGCAGUUGUCCGUACUUCUCUGAGUCAAAUAGGAGCCAAGAAAAACAUUUUCUAUAUGGUCGCUUGGCAGACUUGAUUCUAUGUCUCUACAGCAUUACCCAAGAAAAUAACAAAA